Long non-coding RNA from Telopea speciosissima, 389 nucleotides. RefSeq lists it as uncharacterized. The transcript has 3 exons. The record is from RefSeq and is a predicted model, not a curated record. Lineage: Eukaryota; Viridiplantae; Streptophyta; Magnoliopsida; Proteales; Proteaceae.
AAUAGAUUCUACCAGUUCUGGGAUGAGGCAGCAAAGAAUCGCCACAUACUUGAAGUAGUGCUAGGUUUUGAGCAAGCAAUACAAGAUUAUUCAAUUCAUAUCCUUUCCUUGACUUACCAAAGGGUUCCAAGACCUGUACUUGUAGAGGGUAUCAACAUUGAAGGGCUCUCGCUAGACAAGUUCUUAGAGCAUCAACUUGCCAACUGUGGAUGGACUCUUGAGAAGGGCCACGGUCGGGGCUAGCUUAUUAUUCUUCCUUGCAAUGAAUUCAACCAGCUAGAGCUCAAGAAAAAUACUGUUGAUAGUAUCCCUCUAGAACAUAUUACCUGGAUCUUCCCUAUUCUCAGUUGAAACCAAAAGCUUGUUUUAUUUGGGUGAUUAUGACCAGA